RNAcentral lists this ribosomal RNA (599 nucleotides) under Pantoea sp. EECC-267. RNAcentral describes it as "bacterial SSU rRNA". It matches the Rfam family "Bacterial small subunit ribosomal RNA", at positions 74 to 673 of the family's 1533-position model. Lineage: Bacteria; Pseudomonadati; Pseudomonadota; Gammaproteobacteria; Enterobacterales; Erwiniaceae. The record is from RNAcentral.
UUGCUCUUGGGUGACGAGUGGCGGACGGGUGAGUAAUGUCUGGGGAUCUGCCCGAUAGAGGGGGAUAACCACUGGAAACGGUGGCUAAUACCGCAUAACGUCGCAAGACCAAAGAGGGGGACCUUCGGGCCUCUCACUAUCGGAUGAACCCAGAUGGGAUUAGCUAGUAGGCGGGGUAAUGGCCCACCUAGGCGACGAUCCCUAGCUGGUCUGAGAGGAUGACCAGCCACACUGGAACUGAGACACGGUCCAGACUCCUACGGGAGGCAGCAGUGGGGAAUAUUGCACAAUGGGCGCAAGCCUGAUGCAGCCAUGCCGCGUGUAUGAAGAAGGCCUUCGGGUUGUAAAGUACUUUCAGCGGGGAGGAAGGCGACGGGGUUAAUAACCCUGUCGAUUGACGUUACCCGCAGAAAAAGCACCGGCUAACUCCGUGCCAGCAGCCGCGGUAAUACGGAGGGUGCAAGCGUUAAUCGGAAUUACUGGGCGUAAAGCGCACGCAGGCGGUCUGUUAAGUCAGAUGUGAAAUCCCCGGGCUUAACCUGGGAACUGCAUUUGAAACUGGCAGGCUUGAGUCUUGUAGAGGGGGGUAGAAUUCCAGG